Anolis carolinensis (green anole) is the source of this 135-nucleotide small nucleolar RNA. Ensembl annotates it as small nucleolar RNA, H/ACA box 61. The record is from Ensembl. NCBI's taxonomy places the organism in Eukaryota, Metazoa, Chordata, Lepidosauria, Squamata, Anolidae.
AUCCUCCCUAUCCCUUUCCCAUUAGAUCGGAAUACUGAUCUCGUGGUCAAGAAGGAGGGAAAGUAAAAUGGAAGCUGGCCCUCACAUCUUUGCCUGGUCAAAUCCCGCAUUGAACUGGGCUGGCUUGAAACAGUU